CAUUUUUAGUAGAUAGAAAUUCCCUUCGGGUCUUUCUGCAAGGUGCUGCAUGGUUGUCGUCAGCUCGUGCCGUGAGGUGUCGGGUUAAGUCCCAUAGCGAGCGCAACCCUUAUCGUUAGUUGCCAUCUGGUAAUGCAGGGGACUCUAGCGAAACUGCCACCGUAAGGUGAGAGGAAGGUGGGGAUGACGUCAAAUCAGCACGGCCCUUAUGUCCAGGGCUACACACGUGUUACAAUGGUCGGUACAGAGGGCAGCUACCUGGUGACAGGAUGCUAAUCUCGAAAACCGGUCUCAGUUCGGAUCGAAGUCUGCAACUCGACUGCAUGAAGUUGGAAUCGCUAGUAAUCGUGGAUCAGCCAAGCCGCGGUGAAUACGUUCCCGGGCCUU
RNAcentral lists this ribosomal RNA (387 nucleotides) under uncultured Sphingobacteriales bacterium. Its description in RNAcentral is "bacterial SSU rRNA". It matches the Rfam family "Bacterial small subunit ribosomal RNA", at positions 995 to 1382 of the family's 1533-position model. Lineage: Bacteria; Pseudomonadati; Bacteroidota; Sphingobacteriia; Sphingobacteriales. The record is from RNAcentral.